GCCCGCUUGGAGUAGUGGUAUAACUCGCCGGUGUCCGAUGUCCGUGCAUUGGACAGCCGGAAACCCAGGUUCGAAUCCUGGAGCGAGCA
Durotheca rogersii is the source of this 89-nucleotide non-coding RNA. NCBI's taxonomy places the organism in Eukaryota, Fungi, Ascomycota, Sordariomycetes, Xylariales, Xylariaceae. The record is from the annotation of a RefSeq genome assembly.